AACACGAGAAGAAGAAAGAGGACCUCACAGUUUAAGCGCUCUGUUGGUUCGUGUUUAAUGUGUGUUGUUGUUUUUUGUAAUUGAUGUUCAUCAUGAGACAGCAGGUGGAUGUGAUCUGCUGUAAAUCAGUAGGAACUGAUCUGUCCAUGCUGGAUAUUGAUGAUUUCAUCACAGAAAUCUCUCAGCUGAAGAAAGAGGUGACAUCACUGGAGAAAGAGGUGACAUCACUGAACGCAAAGCUGAAGGAGAGAGAUGACAGGAGCUGGAAAAGGUUUCCUGUCAAUCUUCAGUGUGUGUGACUGAUGGGACCUCCACAGAAUGUCAGGAUUCAGUGUGGAGCUGCAGAGAUCAGUCCAC
Molecule: long non-coding RNA, 357 nt
Organism: Xyrauchen texanus (razorback sucker)
Lineage: Eukaryota; Metazoa; Chordata; Actinopteri; Cypriniformes; Catostomidae
Exons: 3
Source: RefSeq, a predicted model, not a curated record